ACGGAGGGUGCAAGCGUUGUUCGGAAUUAUUGGGCGUAAAGGGCGCGUAGGCGGUUAUGUAAGUCAGAUGUGAAAUACUUCGGCUCAACUGGAGAACUGCAUUUGAAACUGCAUAGCUAGAGUACAGGAGAGGGAAAUGGAAUUCCCGGUGUAGAGGUGGAAUGCGUAGAUAUCAGGAGGAACACCAGUGGCGAAGGCGAUUUCCUGGCCUGAUCCUGACGCUGAGGCGCGAAAGCGUGGGGAGCGAACAG
This 251-nucleotide ribosomal RNA is filed under the name uncultured prokaryote. RNAcentral describes it as "partial 16S rRNA". It matches the Rfam family "Bacterial small subunit ribosomal RNA", at positions 525 to 775 of the family's 1533-position model. The record is from RNAcentral.